This 77-nucleotide ribosomal RNA is filed under the name Staphylococcus aureus. Its description in RNAcentral is "partial 16S ribosomal RNA". It matches the Rfam family "Bacterial small subunit ribosomal RNA", at positions 1 to 74 of the family's 1533-position model. The record is from RNAcentral. Lineage: Bacteria; Bacillati; Bacillota; Bacilli; Caryophanales; Staphylococcaceae.
AUUUUUAUGGAGAGUUUGAUCCUGGCUCAGGAUGAACGCUGGCGGCGUGCCUAAUACAUGCAAGUCUAGCGAACGGA